AGUAAAGUCAGCUAAUUAAGCUCUUGGGCCCAUACCCCAAAUAUGUAGGUUAAACCCCUUCCUUUACUA
Molecule: transfer RNA, 69 nt
Filed under: Epinephelus areolatus (areolate grouper)
Lineage: Eukaryota; Metazoa; Chordata; Actinopteri; Perciformes; Serranidae
Also listed under: 1 other name
Description: tRNA-Met
Rfam family: tRNA
About the family: Transfer RNA (tRNA) molecules are approximately 80 nucleotides in length. Their secondary structure includes four short double-helical elements and three loops (D, anti-codon, and T loops).
Source: RNAcentral